This is an RNA transcript of Zingiber officinale, 2509 nucleotides long. It is a transcript of the gene named protein SOSEKI 3-like, with no coding region annotated. The transcript is spliced from 7 exons. The record is from RefSeq and is a predicted model, not a curated record. Lineage: Eukaryota; Viridiplantae; Streptophyta; Magnoliopsida; Zingiberales; Zingiberaceae.
GGAGGACUUUUCGUCCAAUGAAGCUCUUUGCGGUCACUUUCCAGUCCAGUAAAGGUCGAAGCUUGCAACGGUGAUCCACCUCUCAGUACGAUCGCACUGGUGAGGGAGCAGCUGAAAACCGACCUCGUUCUCCUGCCUCCUCUCGUCGACAGCUGUGUAGGCAUGGAGCAAUUGCGGCACUCUUCCUCCUGAUUGACUUGUGCUUCUUCCCGGGGGUUUCGCGUCAUUUGCAUCUUCUUCCUCAAUCGAUCUGUUCCCGCUAUUUGCUCGGAGUUCACUCGCGCAUUAGAUCUCUGACAGUGGAUGCUGUAAAAAUUGAAGCUUGGUGGGGGAAAGGGUUUCUUUUUAGGUUUGAAGGAGGGAAAGGGAAAUGGAGGCGAGAACGAGAAGGUAUGCGCCGCAAGCGGGCCCGGAGAGGACCAAAGUGUGGACUGAGCCGCCUCCCAAAUUCUCCUCCCAGCAGCAGCAUGGGAGCAAGGUGCCUGUUGUCUAUUACCUCUGCCGUAAUCGCCACCUCGAGCACCCGCACUUCAUGGAAGUCCCGCUUUCGUCCUCCGACGGCCUCUACCUCAAAGAUGUGAUUGAUAGGCUCAAUCUGCUGAGGGGAAGGAAGAUGGCCACCAUGUAUUCUUGGUCUUGCAAGAGGAGCUACAAGAAUGGAUUUGUUUGGCAUGACCUUUCGGAGGAUGAUUUGAUCUUUCCAGUGCAGGGGAAUGAGUAUGUACUCAAGGGUUCAGAGCUCCUAGAUCAAACCCCACCAGAUCGGAAUAGUGAAGGUGUAAGCAAUACAAAGAUCCAGAAUCCUAGACGGGCAUUGCAAGACCCGCCGCCUAUUUGUCGUAAAGUCCAGGAGGCUUCUGGUUCUUUGUCUCCGACGACAGUGGUUGUGAUUAAGGAGGCCAAAAUGGCCCCACCGCCAGUGCAACCAUCUCCUGUCCAAGGAGACGAUCAAUCACUGCCGACACGUAGAUCAGUCUCCUCACCAGGUUAUGAUACUAGAUCUGCCCCGUCAUCACCAGCAGAGUACAGGAUAUGCAAGCCCAUCAAACCUGAGGAUGGUUCAACUGAAACCGAUGAUGAUCGAGGAGGAAGGACAUGUGAAUCGAAUGUCCGAGUUGUUGGUGUCUCAACUGAUGAUAAGCCUCGGUGUACUGACUCUGAUGAGAGCCGAAGUGAACACUCUGUGUGUUUGAAGGAGGAGCCAGAGAUAGUUAAAGUUGAGAGAUCCCCUCCACCAACUUAUUCAAGUGCUUCUUCUUCAUGCGGGAAGAUGAAUACCUUGGAGUGUUUGAUGCGAGAUGAAGCGAGUAAACGGUUUAACUGUGAGAUUGUCGAAGAGGAAGUUUUCUUCCCAACUGAAACAAAGCUCAAAGCAACGAAUAUGCUCAUGCACCUAAUUACUUGUGGGUCAAUCUCUGUUAAAGACCAUUAUAGCUUUGGAUUUGUGCCAUCUUAUAAGCCAAAGUUAGUUAAUGUGAAUCUCACGCCACCAAUGUUCGCCAAUUCAAUGAUUCCAGGGAAGAUCGACUGCUUGUCAGAGAGCCAAAGAGAGAUCAGCUUGGGAUUUAAAAAGAAAGAACAUACCCGUAAGAGGUCAAUCAAAACAAACAAGAACAAGGAGACAACCGGGGAAGGAGCUCCUAACGGUAACCAAUCACCUUCCUUUGAUGAGAACAGGAGCUGCAACAUGGCUUAUUUUAGAGGAGAUGAAGAGAAAGUAGUCGACUCAACCCAAUCUAAUUGUCUUCCUAGGACACAGAUAAUUCCAUCCGGCAAGCAUUCAAGGAAUGAUAUAAUAAACACCUCGACUGGACCAGAAAUAUGCAAAUCCUCUCCAUGCAGUUCAUCAAAUGGUGGAAGUAGGAGGAUUCUCGAUAGCUCGUCAAUCAAAGGAUCUUCAUCCAGGAGGCUAGAGUCUUUCCGAGAGGAGCAAGAGAAGAUGAUCACCAUCGAAGAAAGGCUUACUUCUGGAGCUCGGGUUAUAAUCCAGUCUAGCUCAUGUUGCGAUGAUACUGAAGAUAUCUCUGAUUGACUACGAGAAUGUUAACAUGUCGUCGCUUGUGUUCAAUAUCUGUUUUCUUUGCAGGAUUUAAGUACUACUAUUCUUAAGUUGAAACCAAGAUUGACCGUGACAAUGCUACAAUUUCUGGAACUAGCCGCAAGGGGCUUGUUUUUGGUUGUUAAGAGCUUCGCGAUGACGAUAAACUUAGAAAGAACAAUGCAAAGCAGUAGGAGCCGAGCAAAUACACUUAUUCAAAGUGAUCACCUUCAAGAUACCUCUUGACAUCAAAUGAACUGUCCUAGAGCAGUAAGUGGAUCUUAUUCUUGAGAUGAACUUCCAAAAUAUCAACUGAACUAUUUUGUUCUUCCAUUUACGCUCCUAGACCACUUUGAACUUCAAUAUGUAUGAGUACGUUGUCGGGUGAACAUGUUGGGUUAGUCGAGCAGGCUUGCUUGUCGAGCCGAUUUAGGCUAUGUUAGUUUGAUGUUCUGCAUCCCUUGGCCUUUG